Cyprinus carpio (common carp) is the source of this 1176-nucleotide long non-coding RNA. RefSeq lists it as uncharacterized. The record is from RefSeq and is a predicted model, not a curated record. NCBI's taxonomy places the organism in Eukaryota, Metazoa, Chordata, Actinopteri, Cypriniformes, Cyprinidae. The transcript has 3 exons.
UUAUGUUGACGUACAGAUCUUGUAAAAAAUUCAACGUUGAUUUAGAAGUGUUUCUGCCUUUUAACGUAUUAUUAUGAUAAUUAAUUAGCAUUUAAUGAUUUUUUGAUCAUAACAGCUCUUCAAUGUAUAUGUUAAAAUAUAAUUAUUAUGAUUAUUAACAAUAAUAGUUUCACCCUCAAGAGAGCAGUGCAGCAGAAACCUUUUGCCUUAUGUGAUUUUGUGUGAAUUUACAAUUUUGUCCGCUUGCCUAACAUUGCAUUAUUACAUUUGUAUUCAUACACUGUCAUGUCAUUUGAGCAAUUAAUUAAAUAAUAAUACAGACUGCUAAUUAAACUUAAUACACAGUUAUGUUAACUCGCGCAAACUAUUGCUAUUGUUAUUGGUUGUUUCGCCGUUUUACCUAGAGCAUGAUUGGUUAAUCUGUCUGUUUUAAAGGAAACUGUCCAAUGAGAAUGUGCGCGGCUCUGCGCGCCUAUUUUAAAUUUGAAAAUAUGUCCGUUAAUCUCGGUCGGAGCAGCUGCUUUGCGUUGAUUACUCGGUCAGACCUGGAUUAUUUUAUAUCUGCCUGUUGAAUUCUUACAUUUUGAGCGAAUAUUAGUUGAUAUGACAAUGAAGAUCAAAAGCUGGAAUGUGAACAGAGGAGGGGGUCGUACGUGGUCUGUAAAUACUGGCGAUAUCAGAUCAAGCUUUGUAAUACGAUUUUUAUCGGGGGAGAACACCCAACAGAAAGACCCAUGAUUCACCAGCGUAAGUCAAUUUUACCCACGUACUGUUCGAAAACCUACACUAGGAUAGUAUUAAGUAUGAUUUUCAUAAUGUUACUGAUAGAAAGUCUGAGUAACUUUCUGUCCUUUUGUCUUUCUUCUGCUGAAGUGGCGCACUGAAAGGGGAGAUUCAUGUCACCUUCAUCAGUCCUUUCUUUAAUCACUGGACACCAUUAAGGGAAAGACCCUCAGACGUGUUCAUAAUAGGAUAAAUGCUGCUGCAGGACAAGGCCUGGUGAGAGCCACUACAGAGGAUCAUAGCCAUUGUUGGAAUUCUGAAAGGACGUGGGUGAAUAUCAAUCUGCCAAAUGAACAUUCACAUCUGUAUAUUAAUACUGAUUAUAUAUGAACUUGUUUGUUUGUAACUGGAAAGAACUUAGCUUCUAUUUUUUUUGACUGAAGGACUUGACCG